Long non-coding RNA from Dromiciops gliroides (monito del monte), 439 nucleotides. RefSeq lists it as uncharacterized. The transcript has 3 exons. NCBI's taxonomy places the organism in Eukaryota, Metazoa, Chordata, Mammalia, Microbiotheria, Microbiotheriidae. The record is from RefSeq and is a predicted model, not a curated record.
ACAGGAAUUCCUGUCUGGGACCAUUUCUCUGGGAUGAUUGGUUCAGCUGGUCAUAGAACAUUGGAUAUGGGAAGAACAAAGGAGAGAUGAACUUGCAUUACAACACUGUUCUGGUGGCCAGCACACACCUUCUCGAGUGACUUCACAUUGUGGCUGGUGAGGAUGAUCCAGACCUGGUAAAUGGCCACUUCAGGCUCCACAAGCAUUUUACCAGUGUCCUUGAAUGCCAUGACGGUGGAGUGGCUUCCUAACUGACUUAUUCCUUGGUGAGAGCAAACGGCAGUGAGUCAGGAGGAGAAGAGGAAGGAAUUGCCGACUCCAAGCAGCUGCAGCAAUGAGAGAUGCCUGAGGACAAUGAGAGCUGAAUUGGCUGUCUUAUGGUUCCAUACCCUUUAUAUCUCAGAAGUUGAACCUGAACUCGACGCUUCCUGGGUGAUGC